GACGAACGCUGGCGGCGUGCUUAACACAUGCAAGUCGAACGGAAAGGCCCUGCUUUUGUGGGGUGCUCGAGUGGCGAACGGGUGAGUAACACGUGAGUAACCUGCCCUUGACUUUGGGAUAACUUCAGGAAACUGGGGCUAAUACCGGAUAGGAGCUCCUGCUGCAUGGUGGGGGUUGGAAAGUUUCGGCGGUUGGGGAUGGACUCGCGGCUUAUCAGCUUGUUGGUGGGGUAGUGGCUUACCAAGGCUUUGACGGGUAGCCGGCCUGAGAGGGUGACCGGCCACAUUGGGACUGAGAUACGGCCCAGACCCCUACGGGAGGCAGCAGGGGGGAAUAUUGCACAGUGGGCGGAAGCCUGAUGCAGCAACGCCGCGUGCGGGAUGACGGCCUUCGGGUUGUAAACCGCUUUCGCCUGUGACGAAGCGUGAGUGACGGUAAUGGGUAAAGAAGCACCGGCUAACUACGUG
Molecule: ribosomal RNA, 468 nt
Filed under: uncultured bacterium
Lineage: Bacteria
Description: partial 16S ribosomal RNA
Rfam family: Bacterial small subunit ribosomal RNA
Source: RNAcentral